AGCAGCCGCGGUAAUUCCAGCUCCAAUAGCGUAUAUUAAAGUUGUUGCAGUUAAAAAGCUCGUAGUUGAAUUUCGGGGUUAGUAAGUUGGUCAUGCCAUUGGUAUGCACUGGCUUUACUGAUUCCUCCUUCUUGACGAACCGUGAUGUCAUUAAUUUGGUGUUGCGGGAAAUCAGGACUGUUACUUUGAAAAAAUUAGAGUGUUUAAAGCAGGCUAACGCUUGAAUACAUUAGCAUGGAAUAAUGAAAUAGGACGUUAAUCCUAUUUUGUUGGUUUCUAGGAUCGACGUAAUGAUUAAUAGGGAUAGUUGGGGGCAUUAGUAUUCAAUUGUCAGAGGUGAAAUUCUUGGAUUUAUUGAAGACUAACUACUGCGAAAGCAUUUGCCAAGGAUGUUUUCAUUAAUCAAGAACGAAAGUUAGGGGAUCGAAGACGAUCAGAUACCGUCGUAGUCUUAACCAUAAACUAUGCCGACUAGGGAUCGGAUGAUGUUAAUUUUUUAAUGACUCA
This 507-nucleotide ribosomal RNA is filed under the name uncultured Glomus. RNAcentral describes it as "SSU rRNA". It matches the Rfam family "Eukaryotic small subunit ribosomal RNA", at positions 569 to 1078 of the family's 1831-position model. The record is from RNAcentral. Lineage: Eukaryota; Fungi; Glomeromycota; Glomeromycetes; Glomerales; Glomeraceae.